AAACAUUUAUUAAAAAUGAUAUUGCAACUAUUUGAAUAAAAUAAAAAUAUUCAAUAAAAUAUUCUAGUUUCUUGUAAAAUAAUAUUUAUAGUCAUCGGUAAAUAAUUUUUAUAAUGUAAACGCUAAAUAAAUUCAUACGUACUAUAAGACAGAUAACCAGGAUAUGAAAUUUACUUUACAGUGACUCGUGGGCCCAUAAGGAACAAAAGUGCACAAAGGCAGUAAACCUAUAGUUUUUGGAGUAGUAAAGCCGACUAUAAUCCUUGAUGAUAUCUACUAUCCACAGGCUACCUCGGGCCUGAAAUGGUUAAAAAGGAGGGUGGUGAGAUUAUAGAAUCCCAGUGAGUAAACAGAUACCAUCUAAACCAUCUAAAGUCGAGUAAAUGGAGGCAGAUAAAACAAUUUAACAUACUUAAAUUCAUCACCUUUCAACUUGUUUCAACCAAAUAAAAUCAAUUCAUAUAAAUCGAGUAAUUAACAUGGCUUAUGAAUUUCUUAAAACUUUGGCUCGUGCCAAAAUCAUUAUCAUACUCAGUCAUUAGGGAUACCUUACGCGAGAGCUAUCCCAAACCGAGUCCGCCAAGGCUGUUAAAAGUUAUGUACGCAUAAAUCAUGUUUUUAUUUUGAAAACAUAGCUGUUCCUUGGCGUUGGUUGAGUUCACCCUCACGUGGUGGUUUGGGUGAAGUGAACUCUAAAAUGUUAACCUCAGGAGUUAUCCAACUGCGCCUCUCAUACUGAGGUAAGAUAUGACGGGGUUUACCGUGCCCCUCUAAUAGGCUGGUCCACGAAAACCAGCCCACUGCAGCAAGCUCAACCCCACCAUAUAAUAAAAAUUCAACAACAUGACAUGGCUAUUUUUAUUAUUAUCCAGCCUAUCAAGGCAAACAAUAGUUUAUAUAUUUCAACACAAAUACCAAUUCAGCCAUUCAUGCCAAUAUUGUCAUAAGCCAAUCAAUUAGAAUCAUAAAUUCACAACACAUCAAAUGGUUUUCAAUUACUCUAUUUUCAAAGCCAUUAUUCAAUUUCAAGACAAUUUUAUAAAAUUAUUUCAUUUAAUCACAUUUUUGCUUAUAAAACAUAAAGAUUUGCCAUUUAAACUCAUUUUUCAUAAAUCACAAAAUCGGAUAAAAACCACUUUAGAUAAUUAACACGAUAGUAAGGUUACUCACAGUACUAAGAGUUCGAUAUACUCCUAUUCCCGAUCUUCGAGCACAAUCUCUUUACCCUUGUUAGAGGGCUCACCAUCUAUACAUCAUACGUGACACGAAUUUCAAUAAAUUGUGUCAAUUUAUCAUAAACUAUUUCAAGCUCUAUAAAUCUAUAUGAAUGCACUAAAUGUGAUGCAAAAUGUCCGAAUAGCUGUUUAAAUACGAUAUUCGACCUAAUUUGCACUAUUCUCGGUGUAAUUGGCUAAAACCUCCAAUUUAACUCCAAAUCAAUUUCUUUUACUUUCUACACUCCAAUUAUACUUAAAAUACCUCAAUGACUGUGAAUAUGAUUCAAUUUAUUAGUCCGAACCAUAAAUCGCACAUGUCUAUACAUUAGGUAAACAUUCAGAUUUUCAUUCCAAAAUUUCCCAUUAAAUUUCUAGCCUCACCAAUCAUUAAAUACCACUAAAAUAUCAUGAAAUAUCAUCAAUUUCAGCCUCAAUAUCCUCCCUAGAAAACUCAGCCUCUUGUGGGUUUGUGAAGAACAAAGUGAUUCCUUGCUAGAUUUUCAUACUUUCCAUUACCAAACAACCAAAAACACUUAAUUAGCUUGAAAUCUAGCAAAAUCAAUGCUCAAAACCUCUCCUCUCAAAUUUGGCCAGCAUUGGUUCAUCAUGUAAACUUGAGUUCUAAGCAUGGAAAAUGAAAAAGAAAGCAUGGGUAGUGUAAAUCACAAGGUAAAAUCACAAAAUCUUACCUUUAUUAGCUUAAUCCCUUGAAAUCCCACACUUUUUCUUCAAUUUUCCUACCUAGGGUUUGUGUUCUUUCCUUUCCUCUUCAGUUCAUGCUUUGGC
This 2003-nucleotide long non-coding RNA is filed under the name Theobroma cacao (cacao). Its description in RNAcentral is "long non-coding RNA (TCAC_LNC005410)". The record is from RNAcentral. Lineage: Eukaryota; Viridiplantae; Streptophyta; Magnoliopsida; Malvales; Malvaceae.